UUGGGGGACUGCUCUCAUGCUGGGAUCAUGAACAAUUUGAAGGCAGGCUACUUAACAAGAAUUGCUAUUCCUGGACCAUAAUAUUGACAGAUAAGAAUUUGAACUUCCAAUGAAUGCUCUCUAAUAUUUAUGGUCCUCAUAGCCAGCAUGAUCGAAGAGUGUUCCUUGACGAACUUAGCUUGUUAAGAGAAUCUAAUCUCCUACCCUGGGUGUUAAUAGGAGAAUUCAAUGCCACGAGAUUUUAUUCUGAUCGC
This 254-nucleotide long non-coding RNA is filed under the name Elaeis guineensis (African oil palm). RNAcentral describes it as "long non-coding RNA (EGUI_LNC023241)". Lineage: Eukaryota; Viridiplantae; Streptophyta; Magnoliopsida; Arecales; Arecaceae. The record is from RNAcentral.